RNAcentral lists this non-coding RNA (48 nucleotides) under Trichobilharzia regenti. Lineage: Eukaryota; Metazoa; Platyhelminthes; Trematoda; Strigeidida; Schistosomatidae. The record is from RNAcentral.
AUCCGACAGACGAGUCCCAAAUAGGACGAAAUGCGCUUUAUCCUGGAU